Molecule: transfer RNA, 69 nt
Filed under: Chalarodon madagascariensis (Madagascar iguana)
Lineage: Eukaryota; Metazoa; Chordata; Lepidosauria; Squamata
Description: tRNA-His
Rfam family: tRNA
About the family: Transfer RNA (tRNA) molecules are approximately 80 nucleotides in length. Their secondary structure includes four short double-helical elements and three loops (D, anti-codon, and T loops).
Source: RNAcentral
GUUAGCAUAGUUUAACUAAAACAUUAGGCUGUGGCUCUAAAAAUAGAGGUUAAAACCCUCUUACCAACC